This 253-nucleotide ribosomal RNA is filed under the name uncultured bacterium. Its description in RNAcentral is "partial 16S ribosomal RNA". It matches the Rfam family "Bacterial small subunit ribosomal RNA", at positions 524 to 776 of the family's 1533-position model. The record is from RNAcentral.
UACGGGGGGGGCAAGCGUUGUUCGGAAUUACUGGGCGUAAAGGGUUCGUAGGUGGCUUGCUAAGUCAGACGUGAAAUCCCUCAGCUCAACUGGGGAACUGCGUCUGAGACUGGCGAGCUUGAGUGCAGGAGAGGAAUGCGGAAUUCCAGGUGUAGCGGUGAAAUGCGUAGAUAUCGCUUGGAACGCCAAAGGUGAAAACAGGUUGCUGGGGUUGUGCCGACGCUGAGACACGAAAGCCAGGGGAGCAAACGGG